Molecule: ribosomal RNA, 1789 nt
Filed under: human metagenome
Description: bacterial LSU rRNA
Rfam family: Bacterial large subunit ribosomal RNA
Source: RNAcentral
GUUGGCUUGGAAGCAGCCAUUCAUUUAAAGAGUGCGUAACAGCUCACUAGUCGAGGAGUUUGGCGUGGAUAAUAAUCGGGCAUAAGUAUUCUACCGAAGCUUUGGGAUGAGAAAUCAUCGGUAGGGGAGCAUUCCACUCGGCGUCGAAGGUGAGGCGCGAGCUUUGCUGGAGCGUGUGGAAAAGCAAAUGUAGGUAUAAGUAACGAUAAAGGGGGUGGGAAACCCCCUCGCCGAAAGACUAAGGUUUCCUGAUCAACGCUAAUCGGAUCAGGGUAAGUCGGGUCCUAAGGCUCAGCCGAACGGCGAGGCCGAUGGCAGAACCGGUUAAUAUUCCGGUACUACCUGUGGGAGUGACGUGGAGACGGAGUCGUGACAGCGCCGCGGACUGACGGAAUAGUCCGUUGAAGGGUGUAGAUGCUGAUUGUUCCAGGCAAAUCCGGAGCAAGAGUCGAACCUGAUAGUAUGGAGCGUUCUUAGAACAAUCCAAUAGUGCGUGUAAUCAUACUCCCAAGAAAAUCCGCUAAACUUAAUCCUGCAGGUACCCGUACCGCAAACGGACACACGUAGUCGGGUUGAAUAUACUAAGGCGCUUGAGUGAUUCACGGUUAAGGAACUAGGCAAACUGACCCUGUAACUUCGGGAUAAAGGGUCCCUACCCGGUGACGGGAGGGCGCAGAGAAUAGGUCCAGGCAACUGUUUAACAAAAACACAGGGCUGUGCAAAAUUGAAAGAUGAAGUAUACAGCCUGACACCUGCCCGGUGCUGGAAGGUUAAGAGGAGAUGUCAUCGCAAGAGAAGCAUUGAAUUGAAGCCCCAGUAAACGGCGGCCGUAACUAUAACGGUCCUAAGGUAGCGAAAUUCCUUGUCGGGUAAGUUCCGACCUGCACGAAUGGUGUAAUGAUCUGGACGCUGUCUCAACCGUGAGCUCAGUGAAAUUGUAGUAUCGGUGAAGAUGCCGAUUACCCGCGAUGGGACGAAAAGACCCCGUGAACCUUUACUAUAGCUUAACAUUGAAUUUGGGUAAUUGAUGUGUAGGAUAGGCCGGAGACUUUGAAGCAGGUACGCCAGUAUUUGUGGAGUCGCUGUUGAAAUACGGCCCUUUGAUUAUUUGAGUUCUAACCCGUGGUACGGGGACACUGUUUGGUGGGUAGUUUGACUGGGGUGGUCGCCUCCAAAAGUGUAACGGAGGCUUCUAAAGGUGCCCUCACGACGAUUGGUAACCGUCGGCAGAGUGUAAUGGCAUAAGGGCGCUUGACUGGGAGACUUACAAGUCGAUCAGGUAGGAAACUAGAGCAUAGUGAUCCGGUGUUUCUGUAUGGAAAGGACAUCGCUCAAAGGAUAAAAGGUACUCCGGGGAUAACAGGCUGAUCCCUCCCAAGAGCUCAUAUCGACGGAGUGGUUUGGCACCUCGAUGUCGGCUCGUCACAUCCUGGGGCUGGAGAAGGUCCCAAGGGUUCGGCUGUUCGCCGAUUAAAGUGGCACGCGAGCUGGGUUCAGAACGUCGUGAGACAGUUCGGUCUCUAUCUAUCGUGGGCGCAUGAAAUUUGCGUGGCUCUGACACUAGUACGAGAGGACCGUGUUGGACUGACCUCUGGUUUACCGGUUGUGCCGCCAGGUGCAUUGCCGGGUAUCUAAGUCGGGAUUGGAUAAGUGCUGAAAGCAUCUAAGUACGAAGCCAGCCACAAGAUUAGAUUUCUCAGGGUCGUUGUAGACUACGACGUUGAUAGGAUGCAGGUGUACAGGCAGCGAUGUCAUAGCCGAGCAUUACUAAUUGCCCGUUCACUUUUUG